GUUCAGCCGACGAGUCCCAAAUAGGAUGAAACGCGUUUCAUGGAU
Molecule: non-coding RNA, 45 nt
Organism: Schistosoma curassoni
Lineage: Eukaryota; Metazoa; Platyhelminthes; Trematoda; Strigeidida; Schistosomatidae
Source: Rfam